Molecule: transfer RNA, 76 nt
Filed under: Debaryomyces hansenii CBS767
Lineage: Eukaryota; Fungi; Ascomycota; Pichiomycetes; Serinales; Debaryomycetaceae
Description: tRNA Arg (CCG) cove
Rfam family: tRNA
About the family: Transfer RNA (tRNA) molecules are approximately 80 nucleotides in length. Their secondary structure includes four short double-helical elements and three loops (D, anti-codon, and T loops).
Source: RNAcentral
GCCCUUGUGGCCUAAUUGGUUAAGGUGUUAUCCUCCGGUAAGAUAAUGAUUGCGGGUUCGAGUCCCGCCUCGGGCU